This 307-nucleotide small nuclear RNA is filed under the name Sorex araneus (European shrew). RNAcentral's name for it is "7SK RNA (ENSSARG00000018599.1)". It matches the Rfam family "7SK RNA". From Rfam's summary of the family: 7SK was discovered as an abundant small nuclear RNA in the mid-70s but a possible function has only recently been suggested. Two independent studies have found that 7SK RNA binds the CDK9/cyclin T complex (known as elongation factor P-TEFb). The record is from RNAcentral. Lineage: Eukaryota; Metazoa; Chordata; Mammalia; Eulipotyphla; Soricidae.
GGAUGUGAGAGGGUGAUCUGGCCAUGACCUCUGCCACACAUUCAUUGCCAGGGAAGGUCCAACUGAGCCGGCUGGCGAGGCAGCUGCCCCUUCCUCCCUCACUGUUCUGCUUGUGCCCUUCCCGAAGCAAGGCUCUGGGUCCCAGAGGACGGCCUUCCAGCAGCCUCCCUUCAGCGAGGGUUAGAGGAGCUGCUCCUCUGCCAGAACCUCCAAACUCGUUCUUGAAGACAAAAGCAAAAAAAGGGGGGGCCUAGGGCCAGAGCAGUAGUACAGCGGGGAAGGCUUGAGGAUUGAGGGUUCAAUCCCU